CAUGAAGUCGGAAUUGCUAGUAAUCGCGGACCAGCAUGCCGCGGUGAAUACGUUCCCGGGCCUUGUACACACCGCCCGUCACACCAUGGGAGCCGGUAAUACCCGAAGUCAGUAGUCCAACCACGUGAGGACGCUGCCGAAGGUAGGAUUGGCGACUGGGGUGAAGUCGUAACAAGGUACC
Molecule: ribosomal RNA, 181 nt
Filed under: uncultured bacterium
Lineage: Bacteria
Description: partial 16S ribosomal RNA
Rfam family: Bacterial small subunit ribosomal RNA
Source: RNAcentral